This is a long non-coding RNA of Hippocampus zosterae (dwarf seahorse), 576 nucleotides long. RefSeq lists it as uncharacterized. Lineage: Eukaryota; Metazoa; Chordata; Actinopteri; Syngnathiformes; Syngnathidae. The record is from RefSeq and is a predicted model, not a curated record. The transcript is spliced from 4 exons.
UUUCCAGUUUUCUAUCAUAAGUUCGAUUUUGAUGUGAGAACGUGAUCGUGGAUGACAUGUUGACUCAGCACUCGCCAACACUUCCUGCUCGUGUCUGUGUGCUAAACGCUAACUUGUGCCUCCGCCCGUCAACUUUCAAGUGUUGGAUUCCCUCGUAGUCACCACAUGGUUCGACGCUGUUACGUUGGAGCUCCGGUUCGAAAUGCCCCUCGAAGAAACACUGACCGCCAAGUUGCUUCCGGGUCAGCAUUGUUGAAGACACUGAUCAUGUUACAAUGUCACCAAAAUGAUCAACAAUGAAGAAAACCAAUAAAUAUCAACCUGCAACACUAAAUGGUCAUUUCAGUAAUCACUUCUACAGCAUACCGAGGAAAUCGCAAUGUCCCAUCACUGUGUUUGCAGAGUCCCGGUGCGAAUCGGAAGGAAGGCUGUCUCGCUUUUGGGGCCGAAGAAGACCUAACUGCGGGCGGCUCAGCGUCACUGAGACGACGUGCCGCGGUGCUCCUCUCGCGUGCUGCCCGGUGCUGACGUCUCCUUGCCGGCGAACGUGUCGAGCAGAGCGCCCUCCUGGCCCGG